This 560-nucleotide ribosomal RNA is filed under the name Entamoeba moshkovskii. Its description in RNAcentral is "SSU rRNA". It matches the Rfam family "Eukaryotic small subunit ribosomal RNA", at positions 1064 to 1552 of the family's 1831-position model. The record is from RNAcentral. Lineage: Eukaryota; Evosea; Mastigamoebida; Endamoebidae.
AAACCCAAGAGUUUCACAACUACCUUGUUCAGAACUUAAAGAGAAAUCUCGAGUUUAUGGACUUCAGGGGGAGUAUGGUCACAAGGCUGAAACUUAAAGGAAUUGACGGAAGGGCACACCAGGAGUGGAGCCUGCGGCUUAAUUUGACUCAACACGGGAAAACUUACCAAGACCGAACAGUAGAAGGAAUGACAGAUUAAGAGUUCUUUCAUGAUUUAUUGGGUAGUGGUGCAUGGCCGUUCUUAGUUGGUGGAGUGAUUUGUCAGGUUAAUUCCGGUAACGAACGAGACUGAAACCUAUUAAUUAGUUUCCUGCCUAUACGACAGGAAUCUCCGCAAGGUCAGGUGCCUCGGUACCACUUCUUAAAGGGACACAUUUCAAUUGUCUCAUUUUAAUCGAUGUCUCUGGCUCCGGUCAGAACUCUUUUAACGUGAGAAAAAGAAAAAGGAAGCAUUCAGCAAUAACAGGUCUGUGAUGCCCUUAGACAUCUUGGGCCGCACGCGCGCUACAAUGGAGUUACUAGAGAGUAUUUUAUCAUCCAACCCUUAUAUUGAGAAACU